Small nuclear RNA from Cynocephalus volans (Philippine flying lemur), 107 nucleotides. The record is from RefSeq and is a predicted model, not a curated record. NCBI's taxonomy places the organism in Eukaryota, Metazoa, Chordata, Mammalia, Dermoptera, Cynocephalidae.
GUGCUCGCUUGUGCAGCACAUAUACUAAAACUGGAACGAUACAGAGAUGAUUAGCAUGGCCUCUGCACAAGGAUGACCCACAAAUUCGAGAAGCAUUCCAUAUUACG